UUGUGUAUGUAUGUUGUUACAGGGUGGUUAACUUCGCCAGCGGCCCCCUUUCCCGGGGCAGUCCCUGCUCUCCCCUGCUAGAGGGGCACCCUAAUCCGUCACCCCAUCCGACUUCAGAAUGUAUUCGUUGGGUUCGGCAACUCACCACCAGCAUCCAACCAAAUCUAGCGGAUCAACGGCGCAUCAACUUAGUUCCUGGUCAGCUCGCAAGUUGAUAUUAUCACGUCCUACACCGUCCAUAAGAUGGGGGGCCACCUCCCAUUUCAUCACUCCUCAAACACCCGAGGAGCCGGCAGGCGGAUUUGAACCCGGGUCGACUGGGUCGACCGGGAGCAGAAGUCAGGCCUUAACCUCUGCCAGCCGCCUGUCUAUAUAUUGUGUAUGUAUGUAUCUGUGUGCACGGAUUGGGAGGGAGAGGGACGGGACGCACCCAACUACCCCAACAAACAAAGCCAGCCUGCAGCCUUGGGUGAAGCCUGGGUGCCUGGGUGUCAGGCGCGGAUCGUGCAUUCUGCAUUGUCGGAGUAAGCAGCAGUAUUAGGCAGUUUUGGGCCUUACAUGUGUCGGGAGGGGGGAGAGGGCGGGCGCGGUGAAUACGGAUAUGGGGGUAUGUGUCGUGUGGUGGGCUGUUUACCUGAGGCAUGUGGUCAUCCGUCUGUGGUGUGCCGCGUAUGUGUACCUUUUCUUCUUUGCGUUGGGGGGUUUGGCUCUUGCUCGCUCUCUUUUUGGGAUUCUUGCCAUGUAUGUAUAUCUGUACGUGCUGUGUCCCGGGUCUCCUCUUGUCGUACGUUUUGUCCCCACUCCACCACCAGGUCACGGGAUAAUCGUCCGAGAGAUGUGUUGUACAAAUGUCGUACCUUUGAGAGUUUCUGAUUUAGGAAGGGUAAAUUUGAAGAAAAAGGUAACCAAAAUGGAAAGGAUGCAACAAUUACCUUGAUAAUAGACAAUGGUGAAGGUCGCAUAAUAACAAGUUUUCAGUGUGUGGCACAUAGCAUAGGCAGUCCAAGCGGAUGCGAAAGCAGAGAUACGUUUCACGACUUGACCAUCGAAACACACGCCGCACACACUUUCAGACGCAGACACUCUUUUCUUCUGCAUCGCAGCUGCCAGGCCUGGCUAGCAUCAGGGCAAACCAGUCCCACCAAUGCCCCUGGGACGUCUUAGGAAUGGAGUUGAGCCGCCGUUGAUCCGGCAGAUUCCGUUGGAUGCUGGUGGUGGGUGCGGAACCUGAGCGAUCCACUGAGAAGUUGGCUAGGGUGGAGGUGCCCCGAUAUACCGGGGAAGGCAGGGUUUCGCAGGGUAGCUGCCACGGGUAAAGAUAUGCCCCCCUGUUUCACACCUCUCUUCCCCCACAACAUGCAUUCUCACAAACACCAACGAACUAUCUCCUCCCAAUUCCCAAUAAGCUCAUAACACCCUGCCACCCUGCCCCGCACCACUUCAUCCCACGUGACCCCUCCUGCCUCGUACCCCCCCCUCCCUCCUCUCCCUCCCCAGCCCUCUGCUACGUAAAACAAAGAAAGGAAGCAUACGACCGUCCGUCACAGUGGUCAUCCACUCAGGCUCCCUUGCCAGCUGGGUAUCAAAGUAUCACACAUAACAAGGCAGGCGGCUGGCAGAGGUUAAGGCCUGGCUUCUGCUCCCGUCCCGUCGCGUCCCGGCGCGUCCGGGUUCAAAUCCGCCUGCCAACCUCUCGGGGUGUUUGAGAGGUGAUGAAAUGAGAGGUGGCCCCCCAUCUUGUGGACUGUGUAGGACGUGAUAAUAUCAACUUGCGAGCUGACCAGGAACUAAGUUGAUGCGCCGUUGAUCCGCUAGAUUUGGUUGGAUGCUGGUGGUGAGUUGCCGAACCCAACGAAUACAUUCUGAAGUCGGAUGGGGUGAAUGGCUUAGGGUGCCCCUCUAGCAGGGGAGAGCAGGGCAUUGCCUCGGGUAGGAGGCCACUGGUGAAGCUUAACCACCCUGUAACAACAUCAACAAACAUCACACUUGGUAACUUGGUGACAACAUAUCACACCGCCGACCUCAAAAUCAUAAACUUGAAGUGUUUCAAGUACAAUAUACAUUACGUCAACAUUCCCAACAUGUAAAGUCGAUCACGUCCCGAUGCUAGGGCUGUGAAAGGAGCCCCCAGACAUACAUACAUACAUGUUAGGGUUUGGCACUACUGGUAAGGCGCGACCAUUGCCCCCGGGAGAUCCCGGGAUCGAUACCCAUUAGGGUCAGAAGUCCUUCCGAUGGUGGAAGGCAUUGCGCCCCUAGUAGAUGGACGGUGGUGACCUGGGAUAAAGUUAACCCGCGAGCCGACCAGGAACGGAGCUGGGCCGCUGUCGACCCGGCAAAUUCCGUUGGAUGCUGGUGGUGGGUGCGGAACCUGAGCGAUCCACUGAGAAGUUGACUAGGGUGACUGGAUGAGGGUGCCCCGAAAUACCCGCUGGGAAGGCAGGGUUUCGCAGGGUAGCUGCCACGGGCGAAGAUACACCCCCCUGUUUCACACAUCAUACCUACAUACAUGCAUGCGCAUACACUCCAAUACUACACACGCGCACUCACCCCUCACCCCUUCGCCAACUGUAGCAAAACCCGCAAGGCACCUUUGGCGCUAUCUGGACAUUAAAUAACGCGUCAAAAAUUCAAAAAUAAGAUUCGUAUUUGGAAAGCAGCUACGGAGCCAACCAACGUAGCUGGAAAGGUCGUCCAAGGGCCGCUAGGUGCCGCUGGUGGUGGUGAUGAAGUCCAAGUACAUUCUUGCGGCCAGUGCUGCCCGCUGAUCUGGCAAUGACGGUGCCGUACAGUUGGCGUAUUCGGAGUUUGACCAGCCGUAGGUUGCAUUGCCGUACGGGCACUUCUCAGGCUGGGAGAGCGUGAAGGAAAGCAUGUUAAGUGUCCAGACGCGUUCGCACAAUUCCUGGAAGAAGGCGGCUUGCUCGAUGUACCUGCAGCAGUUAGCAGUUAGCAGUAGCAGCAGGAGUAGCAGUGACAGGUGGCAGUAGCAAUAGCUGCAGCAAAGCAGGUACCGGAGCCGCAGAAGUUGAAGCAGUAGCAAUACCAGUAGGAAGCCCUAGCAGUAGCAACACCAGUAGUUAAGAGGUGGGCGCUGGAGGGAACCGUGCGGCAGAGAAGGGUUUUUAAUAUGGCACAGCUGGGUACGGUGCACAUUUUAAAAAUUGGGAUUUCCAUAUUCCGUACCCCAGUUUUUACAGAAAGGAUUUGCGUACGACAUUCAAAGGCAUUAGGUGCGGGAAAAAAAUGGCUGGAGUAUAGGAGUAAGGGUUUGGAUCUUAAGGUUUAAAAACCGUACAAACUGCGAGGGCAGGGUUAAAGAUAUUCAAAUUACGACGUUGGUCAGCUCGAUUAUGCAGCCGCCCAAGCCAGUGGGGGCAGUAGGGGCUUUCGUAAUGUUGAGGAGAGGCAGGAGGCAGGGGACCCCCAAAAAAUGGGGACGGCUUGCGAGUGGCAGUGGGUGGGGGUUGGGGGCGGGUGGGGCACGUACCUCUUGGCGAAGAAGCGCUGACCGACGUCCAUCUGGCGGUUCCAACACGCCUCCGCCGCCACGGGUGAGUGUGUGCUGCCGGCCCCAUCCCCGGCCCGGCCCUCCCAGGAGAAGUGACCCACCUGUCUCGGAGGUCCAGGGAGGGGAGGGAGGGGAGGGGAGGGAGGGGAGGGGAGGGGAGGGAGGGAGGGAGGGGAGGGAGGGGAUGAUGCACGAGCGCAAAGCUUGUCGCUGACAGAGUGAGCGCCGAGGGGAAAAAAAGGUAAAAGUCUGGUUGAGUUGCUGUACCUCAUAUCCGUUGCUGUUACCCUUCGGAUGUACCUCACCUUCCCCUCUUUUCCUCCAACCCUUGUCUCGCACGCACACACACGUGUGCCAAAACACACACACACACACACAAACACACAUUUCUGUUUCAACAUCUUCUUGAUAGAAAUUGAAGCUACGUCUACAGGUCUCUUUUACUCGGAAGAAGAGUCUAACACGUCGCUGGACUACAGAGCUCGCUCCAAUAAAGUUGCUCGUGCACCAUCAUCGGCAUUUCCCUUCCCCCAUCGCGGCUCCGAAACCAUCAGGACAUAAGCGCACAACACUCUUACCAGCCAGCCUGACAGCCACGCUCUCGCGCACAGCUCCCAGUCGCCGACGAUACCGCAAUCCCCCCGCCGCGACAACCCCUCAUCAAGCCCACCCAGCUCCCAAAAAGCCCGCGCCGAUACCGCCAUCGGCGCAAAGUCAACAAAAUGCGCGUAAGUCCAGGGAACACCGACCCGCGGGUCGAUGUCCCAGCCCGCUGGGCCCCAACGAUUCCCGCGCUCCUUUUGGCGGCACAACCGGUAGGCGUUCAUGCCAAGGAUGCCCAGGCGGGGGUAGGUCUCGAAGAUUCGAAUCAUCUGGGUAAUCCACGUGCCGUUGGUUGGGGGAAUUUGAUCAUCCUGUUCCGUUGGGUGGUUUCGGAGGAUGGUCAGGGUUACUGGUUUUGGGGGUUCAAUGUUGGGUUUUUCAAGUGCAGGAGAAGCAAAAACGUAGUCAUGGGUUACAAUGAGAGUUUGGAGUGGGGUGCAGUCAGGGAGGUGGCUGACGUGCGGGUUUUCUGUUGGUGUUUUUGCGUUUGUGUCAUUGGGGUCGUGGGUGCAUUUUGGUUCACCCUGGGCCACAACCCGCCGUGAGCCUCCCCUCCCAUACACACACGGCAAGACAUGUAAUCGCCCUCUCAUCGACAUCUUAACGUUUCCCGCUCACGUCCCUACCUCUCAAGGCAUGCAUGCACCCAUCCACUCAUCCACCCGCCCAUACACACACACGCUUCUCCCUCCUCCCCUACCCGUUCCCCCCCUUUCCCCUUCCCCACCUGCCACACGAUCAGGUACUUCCCCCGGGCCAGUCGAGCCGCCCGGUUGUAGCCCCGUGCCUCGUGCAGGUUGGCGGAGAACACGGGUAUGACAAAACCGGCCUGCCCCGCCCAGGCCGCUGCCUCAUGCGGGUUGUCAACGUUCACAACCAACUCGCACGGUACGGCAACCGAUUCACAUGAAGCGCGCAAAUUGGUUGCAAUUCUUGUUACUACUUGCGGUCGCUUGAAGUAGUUGAGGAGUACGGAUACGAUGGGACGAGCCGUGUAUAGGUCGGGAUAGAGGUGGGUGGAGAGGCACGUCAACGCCAGGGAUUCUGCGGCUUCCAAGCUGCACAGGGGUUGUGAGUGCGCGGGGAAUUUUUACACGGGGUACCCGUAGAUGUGGGUGUUUCUUUGACUUCGGAAUCGGUGUGCUUGUAUGAGGGAGACCUUGGUUGUGACGAUGCGCACCUGAGACCCGUACGCGCAGGGAUGGAAGCGAUUUUCAACAGGGUUCGGAGCUGCGAGGUCAGGUUGGCAGUCGAGAUCUCCAAAGUAUGUUCACUGGGGUUGGAGGUGAACGAUGGAUACGGCCGGCCCAAGCGCAUUUCGCCAAGAUGAGCCGCGGUGGACUGGAUUUCCUGAGCAAUAACCCGCGGACUCUGUUGCUCAGGAUCGCUAACUAUGUUAUGAAGCCCAAGGCAAGACCUGAUUGGGUUGGGAUCUGGUCCUGAGGACGCUGCUGUAAACCAAGUGAAAAUAAUGCAUGUCCACCAGGAGCAGCGCCUUCGCGCGUGCUUGCUAUGCGACAAAAGCAUCGCAAUUUCUCGUCUUCAGAGUUUGUGAAUUGUAUGUGUCUGUACAGCCUCCUAAGGCUACGUAUGCGGGAACACCAACCAUAGACCAAGCUUAACUGGAGGCGCACGUCCCUGUUUACACAUGAUAUGACUGGUUCGAAUAGUUCAUUUGGUACGCCGACCUCUUGCAUACAAAAGACGUGCGAGCCAAGCUGCAACUGCUGAGACGAACAGGCCCGUACGGCGCUUAAUAAUGACGACCAGAGAGCGGUAAUAUCGGUGUAACGCCAGCCAUCCUAGACGAGUAAGCUUGCUCUGGCUUCCUAUGAUUGCAAUUCGGCAAGCUCUAUAUCGAUGUAUGCAUCCUAUUCAAGUGCUUUAUGCACAACAGCCCGAUUUGCAUCUCAUCAUUUAUCGUGCCAGUGAAGUUCUGCAUAAAUUACUUCAUGGCACGUAAGCUCGAGGAUGCCUUUGUGCAGGCCGUGCCAGUUUUGAAUAAAAUUCCGCUAUAGAAACCUGCAGAAACCUGCAAUCGCAUGAAAGAGCAGGCAGGGCCAACUCCCAAGCAAGAACAGCAGCGGUAUGGCUAGUACAUCUCAAGUGCCUUAUCCCAUACCAUCCCACCGGGCCAAACACAUCGGACCAUUUGUAAGCGCUUGUUUCGGCUGAACACGCGAGAGGUUAAUCUCUGGAACGGGGUGGAACAAAUCGCCGCGUAGACGAUUAUCGGCUGCUACUGCUGCUACUGCGACUGCUGCUGGUGCCGCGGCGGCUUGGCAUUUACUGUAACAGACAGCACUGCAGCAGCAGGGCGUGCGACUCCGCGCAGCAUCAAGUGACACACACACAUACAUACACACAUUUACAUACACACACACAAACGCAACCCCCUCGUUAAGAACCGUUCAAGGGUCCAUCCAUCCCCCUUUGCGCGUAUAUCUACGCGCUAGGGGAGCGCUGCAGGGGCCCCGCACGUAGCGCGUAGGGGAAAGCCUGGGACCUGGCCUGCCGUACAGGUGUAAAACACCUAUGGUAGUGGAAAACAGUCAGAUGCUAGAAGGCUAAGGGGAUCUUCCCGGGGAGACCCCCGAAUUAGUCGUGAGCGCGAGAUUAUGGCUAGCUGCUGAGAUGUGGAGUUGGGCCAGAUUCGCACGCUGGAUUGGUGGCGAUUGCUGAACCCUCCGUCUCUUCGGAUGUUCGGGUGAAUGGAUGAGGAGGGGUCCCUGAAGGCUGGAUCCGCCGCCUUGGACUUACAGUUCGUAUGGCGAAGUACAGUGUGGUAGUGGUGGAUGGUGCUAUAAGGUGAUAAAUCGUAGAACUGACAAUGUGAUAAAGCGGCCCAGAAGCCUCCCACUCUGUAACAGACAAGAAGGCUAAGGGGGAUCUAGGGCGGCACGGCGGGACUCAAGGGUAGGCAAGGAGGAUUUCCGAAGAGGGCCCAGAGCCAACCGGGGCCAGGAAGGUCAGGUUACCCUCAGCUGGUUACCCGCAGGCUGAAGUUAUUGCCGGGUUACCGGUAUCGGCACGCAAGCCCCAGCGAGCCCCAGCGAACAAAACUACUGGGGCAAUCGCCUGGUGGGUCAUCGUCAGGCGCACCGCUCUACAAGGACUGCCGACGUACCCUUGCGUGCGUGAUGGAAAGCCAGGAUGUAAACAGCGUGAGCUGCGUUAAGACCAGCUAAGCGCCAGACCCCCCCGGUCGUAUUACUGAUGUCACCGUUCUCUCGUGGAUGAGUGUCGAUCACUUUCCAACAAGCUGCCCAGGAAAAGGUUCUACAGACCCGGAAAGAACCCUGGUGCCCAGAAAAACUACUUGGCCGAGCUGCGCCUGGACCAAGCGCCAAAACGGUCGGUUUAGGUCAGGUUUACCAGGCGCCUGCAUGCAAGUGGCCCUUCAAAAUUACCGUGUGAAUUCAGUUAACCAGUUUGUAAACGGCAAUUAGAUGUAUUUUUUUGGGAUGUACGGGAUUCCGAUCUGUUGCGGUGCGCGAGUAGGUUGUCUGGCUUCGGAGCGCUGCAUUUUGUAUUAUGUACUUCCUGACCUUACAUGUACUAACCAGGUUAAUUGCCUUGUGAUUUUAUUCAACGCCGGAUGUGCAGCCUUCAUCCAAGCGAAAGUCUCCUGUAAAGUCUUGUGUCCUGGCCACGCAACCAGGUCCUGACCAUAUAUAUUCUCGGAUUAGUAUUUCGAAUUUGCGACGAACUCCAUCUGUAAUUCGCCGACAGAAUUUCUCAUCAGAAUUAGCAGUGUUUAAUAGCCUUACUUGCGCCCAGGCCUGUAAUCAUGUCAGCACAACGACGUCUACAAAUUCUCAGCAAUCACCUGCUUGGACGCACUUCUGAGGAUCUCGUUUCGAGGCAGGCAACUGCCGCGAACAAUUCAGAUGUCUCUGCUUCAUAUGCUUCCGUCGACGGGAAACCCAACUCCUAUGGUCGAGUUCAUGGAGCCGUCAGCCGCGAGCCAACCAACUGGCGUCGGAUACCGAUUGUUUCACGGGAGGAGUUGACUGAUGUCAUCUAUGAGAAAGCCAUCGGCGAGGGCAUUGCCAAGGUACGUUGGCAGCACCAUGAGCCAAAAUUCCUCCUACAUUGGACGGAUGUAACGAUAAGAAAAGUUUGGAACGAAACUCAUCCUUGUUUACCCGUACGGCGAUCCCAUCGAACCGCAGAUCACCAUCAACCGGCCGGAGCGCAGGAAUGCCUUUCGCCCCCGGACAGGUACCGCGCCAUGCCAGAAUGUGUUUAGCAUCUGUAGCUUAGUGAUUUCCUGGACACACAUGCAAACAUCUGUUCAAAUUCUGAAGGCCUGGCGGCAAUCCUGUCGUACAUCCCUAGGCCUGCCCUGGACCUCUUUUCCCCGUUCGUCCACAUCUAACCCGGACCUCCGGCCAGCACGGCUGGGGUUUCAUGUAAAGGAAUCCCCUUACGCAACGGGUAGCAUUUGGACACUCCCCUUGCUGAGUCCGUUUUUCUCGUCCUCAAACUGUAUCCUGACAUCCUGUUCAGCACAAACCCACAUCAGCACAAACCCACAUCAGCACAAACCCACAUCAGCACAAACCCACAUCAGCACAAACCCACAUCAACACAAACCCACAUCAACACAAACCCAUGCCCCUGCAAAUCCCCCUCCUCCGCACGAUCAGUCCAGGAGAUGUCUUGGUGCUUCGGCGACGCCCGAGACGACCCUGAAGUGGGCGUCAUCAUCUUGACAGGUAUCGUACAAUCGCCAUACACAGCUGUAUAAUUUUACCGUAUAGUUGAUCGGCCCGCUGCUGCUGCACACUGGUGUCCAUGAGCUCUGACAACGGCCUCGUAGCCAUAAAACGCCGACGUCCUUGCUUGGAUCGUGUCUUGCAUUUGCUGGGAGCGUCUUUCUACGUCCCACAACCCUUCUUCUUCUUCUUCUUCUUCUUCUGGUGCUCUUUUGCCCCACCUGUCGACCGUCGACCGCCGUCCUCCGCCGACAGAUAACACGUCCGGACGACGCGUCCGUGUUUUCACCUAGGCCCCCUUCCUCCCCCAACUGCCGCAACCCGACCACCGGGGGCGCCCCCGGCCCCCGCUCCCGCACACCCGUGCAGGUGCCGGCGACCUUGCCUUUUGCAGUGGCGGCGAUCAGAGCGUUCGCGGCCAGGGCGGUUACGUCGGGGCGGAUGGAAUUGCGCGACUCAAUGUACUCGAUCUGCAGGUCAGCGGGGUGCAGUACGGGAAGGAGGAAGGAAGCUUCACAUACAAGAGGUGUAGUGUUAAGGGCCAAGGACAGACAGACAGACGUUGUAGCAUUUAGGUGUUUCGCAGUGCAAAUGGGAUUUCACGGUCCCUCCCAUUUCCCUUGUCCAUACAUGUUCCGUACGCGUACGAAUGCAGAUCCAGAUCCGGCGGCUGCCCAAGCCCGUGGUAGCCAUGGUGGCGGGGUACGCUGUGGGAGGAGGCCACAUCCUCCACAUGAUCUGCGACCUCACGGUACGGCAAUUUGCACGACCCGGUACGACAAUGUAGUACGUCCUAUAUUAAGUCGUCCACAUAACGGAUAUUCUCGGCCGCGCGUGAAUACAUUAUACUGGCCAGUAUGCUGUUACAACUUUCCACAGGCGCUCAGGAUCCCCCCAACUCCCAUCUCCCCUUCACACUUAAAUAAAAAGUAAAAUUUUAGUAUGUAAUAUCCUGCAUAUACAUACACACAUACACACCUUCCGCCCAACCCCGCCCCCGCAUUCUUAUACGCCCCCAUCCUCGGGCGUCGGGAUUUCCAUUUCCAAAGCCCUGAACCACCCAAAAUCCCCGCAUGGACCGCAGUGUCAACCCCACCUCUCCACACACACACACACGCGCACACACCCGGUCUUAAGUCCAUUCGACCUACCCCUCCCUUCCAUCGCCUGCCAACCUGAGACUCCAGAUAGCCGCAGAUAAUGCCGUAUUCGGUCAAACCGGCCCCAAGGUCGGCUCCUUUGACGCGGGAUACGGCUCCACGCACAUGGCUAGGCUGGUGGGGCAGAAGAAGGCGAGGGAGAUGUGGUUUUUGGCACGACUGUACGACGCACAUGAGGCCCACCGGAUGGGCCUUGUGAACACGGUGAGUUGGGGUGGUGGUUGCUGCUGAGGGAGGAGAUGAGUUGUUGGGGGGGGGGGAAGACGAACCACACACGAUUGAAGCUGCUGCCAGGGCAAGAGAGUAGCAAACGUAAAAACUGACCGAAACUGGCGGGGGGGGGGAAGAGAAGAGUGGAGGCACACCUGGGGGGUUUGGUUUUUUUCUAGGAGUGAGGGGUGUCGGGUUUGGGACCGGUGAUUUCCGUACUCCGUACUGCAACAUCCUGGACAACCAUCACCACUAUCACCAUCGCUAUCAUAUCAUCACCACCAUCAUCACCAUCAUCACCAUCAUUACCAUCAUUACCAUUACCAUUACCAUCAUUACCAUUACCAUUACCAUCAUUAUCGUCGUCAUCAACACUGCAAUUAUCACCAUCAGCAUCACCAUCAGCAUCACCACCACCAUCACCACCACCAUCACCACCACCAUCACCACCACCAUCACCACCACCAUCAGCAUCAUCAGCAUCAUCAGCAUCACCAUCACCAUCAGCAGCAGCAGCAGCAACAGCAUCAACACUGUAAUCAUCAGCAGCAGCAUCGCCCACCAUCAUCAAGAUCUCCAAAACAAAACUUGAAAGCGCACACACAUACAUACACACACGCACGUGCGACCUGCAGGUGGUUCCCCUGGACAAGCUGGAGGAGGAGACCUUGGUUUGGUGAGUGUGUGUGUGUGUGGGGGGGGGAAAUAGGGGUGGGUAUUGGUGUGUGGGGGGGAGAAGGGAAGGGCCGGACGUUUUCAUGCGAAAAUUCAAGGAAGCAACUGCCUGUGCGUCGAUGGGAUAGGGAGCCAGGUUUUCAGGGCCCGUCAUGUCAAGGAGAAAGGAAACCUGGGUUGAAUUAGGCAGCCUAGUCAGGAAGGGACAACAACAGCUGCCCUGAGGACCAAAGCGGUUUCAAACUGCUGCUGUAUGGUGGUGGAGUCAUUAACGUGAUGAUGACGCGACUGCGGAGGAGGGGUCCUAGCACACGGCGCGAAGCAAAGUCAAGAGGAGGUUCUGGGCGGUCAAGAUCUGCUGUCUGCGUGUAUGAUGUGUGAAACAGGGGGGUGUAUCUUCGCCCGUGGCAGCUACCCUGCGAAACCCUGCCUUCCCCGGAAUUUUGGGGCACCCUCAUCCAGUCACCCUAGUCAACUUCUCAGUGGAUUGCUCAGGUUCCGCACCCACCACUUGAAUCCAACGGAAUCUGCCGGGUCGACAGCGGCCCAACUCCAUUCCUGGUCGGCUAGUAAGUUAACUUUAUCCCAGGUCACCUCCGUCCAUCAACUAGGGGCGCAAUGCCUUCCACCAUCGGAAGGAAUUUCGACCCUAACGGGUAUCGAUCCCGGGAUCUCCCGGGGGCAAUGGUCGCGCCUUACCAGUGGUGCCAAACCCUUGCAUGUAUGCAUAUAUGCAUGUAUGUAUGUAUGUAUCUGUGUAUGUAUGUAUGUAGCUAGACUUAAUUGCACGGCCCGCGUCCUUUCCCCGGCCAUUCCAUUUGUCCAAACUGUUCGGAUCACCACCACCUACGUCCCCACUUCCUCCCCAAACUCCCUUCAUGCAUACACAUACACAUACCCACGCACAUCAGGUGUCGUGAGAUGCUCCGAAACAGCCCCACGGCCCUCCGACUUCUCAAAUCCGCACUCAACGCCGCGGAGGAUGGCCAGGCGGGAAUUCAGGAGCUGGGGGGUAAUGCCACACUGCUGUUUUAUCAGAGCGAGGAAGGAAACGAGGUGAGUUUGCCGUACUGUAUGGCGUUCCUUCUUUCAUGGCGCCGCGACGCACACCUGGCACACGGUCGGCUAGGUUUCAUUUGAGAAUUUAUAAAUUUGCAAUGUAUGUAUGUACUCUUAACUAGGUCCGACCUUUGUUCGAGGAUUUGCUUAUUUCGCAUUUUCCGCACCCACACGGUCCGCUUUGCAGGGUCGCCAAGCCUACCUCGAAAAGCGCGCGCCCAACUUUUCCAAAUUCAAACGGCUUCCUUGAGGAGGAGGAGGUGUGUGUGUGUGUGUGUGUGUGUUUGGGAAAACAGCUUCCAGCUGAUCGAAUGAACUGGAUGUGCGACCUCUGGCGACGUGGGGUUACUCUGAGGUGGUCUAGGGAGAGGAGACGGAAGAGGAGGAGGAGGGAGUCGCAGUAUGAUAUGGUGUAGAGCGUAAUAUGCUGGUUGCCAGACUAGGAGGAGGAGGGCGUGCCGCAUACAGUACUGGACACGCGAGAAAGCCAGGUGUCGUUGCUUUAGCAGACGGACUUGGGGUGCCAAGGAAUGUGCACUUCGCCUCGGCGUCAAGAAACAUUUUAUUCUUUGUUGCGUGAAGCAGGGAGCUUGUGCCUGAGUUUCUUGUUUAGCGUUUCUGUCUUGGUAGGAAACAUGUGAUUGGGUAAUUAAGUAUGUAUCAUUGGUGCGGUGCGUAAAUGUGUAUGCAUGCUGAUUUGACCAGUCAAGGCCGAGUGUCUUGGGGUUUUGUAGACUUAGCAAAGCACCGGACCCCUCGCGGGUCCUAUUACUGCUGUCACCAUUCUCUGGUAUACGAGUGUCGGUCACUUUCCAACAUUGAUAGUGCACCGCGCGCAUGAGGUGAUAUUGAAAAGAUGUGAAUACCGUAAGGUCUUUGCUUAUGAGGGCAGGGGCAACCUGGUAGUUAUGCGUUGCAUCCCUUACAAUUUCAAGAAGUUUAUGACAUGCAAUUGCGAAGUCAUAGCAUGGGACCAAAAGUUUGAGUAGGGCUUCUCAAAGCUAGUGCGGAGAGACAAAGUUAAGAGUCUGCACUAGGUGCACGAACGAAUUAAGCAGCGAUAAUAGCCCUGUCAGCAAUCUAUGAAGCUGUACGAUGAAAUAUGGCACUCUUACAAGUUCCCCUGACCUCAUUUCAGGUAGGGCGGGACAGAACGACGGUUACCCAGCAACCACCAAGUACGGUAACAACAAAAGAGUAGCUCUGAGUAAGUGGUUGCUUAAAGCAAGUUUCGUCCAGUUUAACCUCCCCAGCGGUAAAUGCAUGUGCUUGCGUUGCGUAAGGGCGACAAGUUAAGUGACUGAAUCUCAUCCCUGGCACUCGAUUUACGACUUGCGUUGCCUGCAUGAUGUAACAUCAAACCUGCUUAUAACUUCCAAUUAUGAAUUACGGUUGUGGUCAUUAGCUUUGUAGCUGCGGGUGCAGCCAUGCGCCGAUUGCGGGGUUGACUGUAAAGCUGCGAGGGAAUACAUGGGAUGUGGAGCUUCCUUCCUGGCAGGGGGUCGAUCGCACGUGGAUGGACGGGAGUACAGCACAUCAAUUGCAAACCUUGGGGUUGCGCUGAGCUUGUCUUCGAAGGUAAGGUCGAAGACGGACUGGUCCUACCUUGGUAUUUGGUGAAGUGAGUACAUAAUAUAGUCAACAUGAUAUGCAGACCGCUUCCGUUGGAGAGCUGAAGGUGUUUCAUCGAGAAUUCAAGGACAUAAAGAAUUUUUACUCGUUCGGGAAACUUAUCGGUGAGCCCGGAAACAGGAAGCAUGGUGAUGCGGAGUUGCUCCUCCUUUCCCCUAAAACGACUGAUUUCAGCAUUCAAAACGCAGCCCCAACCAAACCCAGAACGGCAGUCGCGGUGGCGUCUCCCGUUACGCAUGCCAAGAUGUCGCGCACGCUGCUCCCAUAUCCCUGAUAGAAACAUAUGACGCAUUCCACAAAGUAAGCAUCAUGAAGCAGCACAUACGCUGAGCUAAGCAGAGCCCGAGCCCGCCAGCCCGCCGUCCUGCCCGACUUAAAAAAAAGUGCGUGGACUGACAGAAGCUGCCCUUCCCUGUUGUCCCCUUUCGCUUGCGGGUGUGCCUUACCAGCUUCCGCUCAGCCCCACCCCCCUGGUCCCUCUUCCCCCUCCUCCCCCCACCCGGUACCGUCGGCCUCUUCUCCGUACACUGCGCGCUGCUAGCUGUACAGCACCCCGCUCAACCCAACCCCCCACGGCUCAGUCUGCCCCCUGGCACCCGCCGCCGCCCUGACCUACCCAUCCAGCUAUCCAUUCAUCUAUCAGGAUGCCCUCCCUCAAUCUCUAGCACGCACUCCCGCAUGAAAAAACCCAAAUCGAUUACCAUUCCCCUACCUCUCAAAACCCUCAAAUCCCUUUUUUUCUUGCAUUUUAUCCCCCCCCCCCAAAUCCCGUCGGCAGUUAUUCCAUUGACCCUGUAUAUAAAAAAGAUGUAGUCCCCCCCUCCCCUCCCCCUCCCCGCCUACUGGUCAGUUCUGCUCCUUGGCAGCAGCUUCACUCGUUCGUGGUUCGUCUUUCCCCCCCUCCCCUCCCCCCGCCCUUGGCUUUCUCGGCUGCAGCAGUUGGUCCUUGGCUUCUUGCAUAUCAACCCCCUCCUUUACCCCCUCCUUUACCCCCUCCUUUACCCCCUCCUUUUCCCCCUCCUUUACCCCCUCCUUUACCCCCUCCUUUACCCCCUGGCCCCCUCCCCAUCCUCGGACCAGGCAAGGGCCAGUUCGGCUCAGUUCGUGUGGUAACAGACAAGUCCUCUGGCGCUAAGCUGGCCUGCAAGUCUAUAUCCAAGCGGCGGCUGCACUGUCAGGGGGCGGGGCCAGAGGACGUGCUGCGGGAGGUGCAGAUCAUGUACCACGUGGCGGGACAUCCGAAUAUUGUGACGAUAAAGGGUGGGCGGGGUGUGGGAAGGGAAGACGAACCACGAGCGGGUGAAGGUGAUGCCAAGGAAAGAGUGGAGUGUGGGGGGAAAGGGCGGGCAGGGGGUGAGUUGAGGGGUACGACGAACCACUGACGAUACAAGCAGGUACUAAGGAUGGACGGAUGGAUACUCCAGCAUUAGACAGAUACUGCAUCAGGAAUAAAAAAAUAGUUGAGUUGGGGGUUAGGGUGGGCGGGAGGGAGCAACUCCUCGUGGAGGUUGCGGUUGGAGUUGGGGAUUAGGGUGGGUGGGAGGGUGAGGUCGCGAGUGGGAGUUGCUGGAAAUGCGGGCGCUCAUAAGGGGGGGGGUCUGGGACGUCUCUGGAUGAUUUUGGUAAUGGGGGGUAGGUGAAAAAACACCCAGAUCUCGUACCUAGGCAUUUGAAUGUUUAAAAAUAUUUGAAUCCAGAGCCCACUCAUCUCUUCCUCCUUCCCCCCAAAGCCCCACCCACGGGUCCUCCCCCGUAACCCCCCUCUCCCCCGUAACCCGGCCCCCAGAUGUGUAUGAGGACAGCUGUUACGUGCACCUGGUUCAGGAGCUGUGUACGGGGGGUGAGCUGUUCGACUCGAUCAUUGCGGUAAGAGAAUAACGUAGCCGCGGGAGCAAGGGGAGAUGGGACGUGUGUGCUGCUUGCGGGGGAAAUGGGGAAUAGGGCGGGAAGUACGAUGGGGGUUGGGUAUGGGUGCGGGGGAGCUGGUAAUGCGGUUGGGGGCCAGAAGGAAGGCGGUUAAAACGACGAAAGACGGCCAGUUUGCACGGAGAGAGCGAGGGAGGGCGGGACGGCGGGAAGGAGGGACGACGGGGCGAACUUGAGGGACGGAGGGGGUGAAGAAGGGAAGGAAAGCCUGUCACCCCCCUAGGGUUUGGGUUGUAUCCACAACCCCACCCAGCCCCAACCCCUGAUUGCUCUCCGUCCUUACCGCCUCCCCUUUCCUCUCCUUUCCUACACCCCCCUCCCUCCGCUGAUAGACACGGAUUUGUCCUACUGGAACCUUCUGAACCUCCCCACAGUUGAUUUUCCUGAUUUCGCAUCUGAAUCCCUUUCCUUAUACAUACAUACAUGCCACCCUCUCAUUUCCCCCCCUCCCCCACACGCCCAUACCCACCCACCACACACUCACUCAUACACAUACACAUACACAUACACACAUACACACACGCUGUUUCCCCCCUUGCACAGCGCGGCCACUACUCGGAGCGAGACGCCGCCGCGGCCUUCCGCAGCAUCGCCUCGGUGGUGGCGCACUGCCACAACAUGGGGGUCAUGCACCGGGACAUAAAGGUACUGUGUGUGUGUGUGUGUGUGUGUGUGUGUGUGUGUGUGUGUGCGGGGGGGGGGAAAGAGUGCGAGGGGAGGACGUAGCAAAGGAAAUUCAUAAGUGAAUAUGUACUUAUGUAUGUAUGUAUGUAUGUAUGUAUGUAUGUAUGUAUGUAUGUAUGUAUGUAUGUAUGUAUGCAUGCAUAUAUGUAUAAGUGUUGUGGUGUGGUGCUCAGCCAUGCCCUAAGCCUGCAGCACCCAGUGCUGUCCAAUCCAGUCCAACCUGGCACACUGCAUUCCGCUGCCGGCGCUUCUCGAACGCCCCACCACCACCACAUUCCGCACAUCUUCCCUAAACCCCCUUCCGGACACUUGCCCCCUCCCUUUUCCCUUGUCCUCUUUUCCCCCCCCUCACCCUUCCCUGAAACCCCUUCUAUAUACACACACACACACACACGCACAUCGCAGCCGGAGAAUUUCCUGCUCAGCAAUCGGUCUGCUGACGCCACCAUCAAAGCAACGGUAAGAAAGGAGGGGAGAAGACUGUGGAGGCGAGGGGUAGAGGAAUGGGGUUUUCGAGUGCUUAUUGGGGGAACGGGGAGGGAACGGGGAAAAAGAAGGGGCAUGUGAAAGAGGUGGUGGCGGGUGUGGGUUUGGGGGGAAAAUUGGGUUUUGCCCGUACGGCCACCAAUGCUGCUGUUCAGGUCACUACCGUAAAACUCUCCCCCCAUCUCCCUAUCCCUCCCUUCCCCCACAUACACACAUACCCAACCUCUGCUGCUGCCCCAACUCUCUCUCACUAGGCCCAUUGCUGCUGCCCCUUCCCGUACCUCUCCCCUCCGAAACCCAAACCCCCCUCGACCGGCUCCAUUCCGCCGAAACCUGGGGAUUUGUUUCUUUGGGUUUUGCAUGUUUGUGAUUUCACAAUUUCCCCCUCCCCCCCUUCCCCCCUUUCCCCCCUCGGCAGUUGUUUUCCUUGACAUUGCAUAUGAUCCUCCCUUCCCCUUCGGAUACCCGUCCAAUUCCAAUUCCCCGUCCUUGCCGCCCUCCGACCGUUUCCUAAACAGGACUUCGGGAUCAGUGUGUUUUUCUCCGAGGGACAGGUGUUCAGGGAUGUGGUAGGAUCCGCCUUCUACGUGGCACCAGAGGUGCUCCGAAAACGGUACGACAAACGUGCUGACGUGUGGAGUCUGGGUGUACUGCUGUACAUCAUGCUGUGCGGCUUACCGCCCUUCUUCGCGGAGACGGUACGCGCGGAGGGGGGGAGGGGGAAGGGAGUUGGGACGGUGGAGAGGAUGGGGGAUUAGGGGUGGGCAAGUGUAUGCAAAUGCCGUACAUACUGUUGCCGGCGGCCAAAGGCCCAAUGGAGUGGUAGCUUAGCGACGACAUGACGUCCUGUGCACCAAACCGCUUACAGUCCCAAGUCAUCAUGCCGUAAUGACCGUACCGGAGUAUCGGANNNNNNNNNNNNNNNNNNNNNNNNNNNNNNNNNNNNNNNNNNNNNNNNNNNNNNNNNNNNNNNNNNNNNNNNNNNNNNNNNNNNNNNNNNNNNNNNNNNNNNNNNNNNNNNNNNNNNNNNNNNNNNNNNNNNNNNNNNNNNNNNNNNNNNNNNNNNNNNNNNNNNNNNNNNNNNNNNNNNNNNNNGGGGUAGUGGGGGCCGAGGGGGUGGAAUGGGGUGAGGGGGGGUGGGUAAGGACCCCCCCCCGGACUACAUCGAUGGUCCAGUUUUCAAGACGUUUUUCUCCUCCCCCCUCCCUCCUCCCCUCUUCCCCUCCUCCCUCCUGCUUCCGUCAUCGGCACAUUCCCUCCAUCUAAUGGGGUGCCCCAACCUCCCCCUGUCACCCCCAAUACACACGUACACGUACACACAUGCGUAUGUACAUACAUACAUACAACAUACAUACAUGCGAAGGAGCGGGAGAUUUUUUCCGCCAUUCUCAGCCGGGAAGUGCUCUUCGAAGGGGAGCCCUGGAGCCAUGUGUCGGAGGGCGCCAAGGACGUCAUUCGGAAAAUGCUGGUGCGUGUGUAUGUAUGUGUGUAUGUGUGUGUAUGUAUGUGUGUGUAUGUAUGUGUGUAUGUGUGUGUGUAUGUAUGUGUAUGUAUGUGUGUAUGUGUGUGUAUGUAUGUGUGUAUGUAUGUGUGUGCGUGUGUGUGUAUGUAUGUGUGUGCGUGUGUGUGUGUAUGUAUGUGUGUGCGUGUGUGUGUAUGUAUAUGUGUAUGUGCGUUGUUUUUGUUUUCUAUCGCUUUCACCCUUACCCCCCACCAUCACCCCAGCCACCAACCUCAGUCCGCGAACAUCUUUCCUAACCCGGUCAAGUCCUUCCCCACCCCCCAUGCCCCGGCCCUAGCCGCCAAUAUACGUAACAUACGUACAUACACACGUACAUACAUACAUGUGCACACGAACGCAGGAGCGCAACCCCGCCCUCCGGGCCACCGCCUCGGAGGUUCUGGAGCACGAAUGGGUACGAGAGGACGGUACGGCAGAUGCGUCCCCCAUAGACAACGAGGUGCUGCGGAGGCUGCAAAACUUUGGAGCACUGAACAAGCUGCAACAGGAGGCGUUGAAGGUGGGUGCGGUGUGUAUAUGUGUGAUUCUGUGUAUCAAAUGACAAUAAUUAGUUUUUUCCUUCAACCGUCCCAACCACCUCAAAAACCCUCAUCCACGCAACCCCUCCCCUCCACUUCAACUCCCCUGGGCCCACCGCAGGUCAUCGCCACCAACCUGCCUGAGCCCGAGGUGAUGGGCUUGAGGGCCUUAUUUCGGGAAAUGGAUUCGGAUGGCUCGGGGAACAUUACCGUACAGGAGUUACGACAGGUGCGUGGGGUGUUUGGCAAUGGGGGGGAGGGGGAACUACCAAAAGGUAUUCCAGAGGGAGGGGGUGGUGGGGACGAGCCGUAUGAACGCGUAUGUAUGUUGUUACAGAGUGGUUAACUUCGCCAGCGGCCCCCUUUCCCGGGGCAGUCCCUGCUCUCCCCUGCUAGAGGGGCACCCUAAUCCGUCACCCCAUCCGACUUCAGAAUGUAUUCGUUGGGUUCGGCAACUCACCACCAGCAUCCAACCAAAUCUAGCGGAUCAACGGCGCAUCAACUUAGUUCCUGGUCAGCUCGCAAGUUGAUUUUAUCACGUCCUACAUCGUCCAUAUGAUGGGGGGCCACCUCCUAUUUCAACACUCCUCAAACACCCGAGGAGCCGGCAGGCGGAUUUGAACCCGGAUCGGCCGGGAGCAGAAGUCAGGCCUUAACCUCUGCCAGC
RNAcentral lists this long non-coding RNA (19374 nucleotides) under Volvox carteri. Its description in RNAcentral is "long non-coding RNA (VCAR_LNC001993)". The record is from RNAcentral. Lineage: Eukaryota; Viridiplantae; Chlorophyta; Chlorophyceae; Chlamydomonadales; Volvocaceae.